Long non-coding RNA from Gadus morhua (Atlantic cod), 478 nucleotides. RefSeq lists it as uncharacterized. The record is from RefSeq and is a predicted model, not a curated record. The transcript has 3 exons. Lineage: Eukaryota; Metazoa; Chordata; Actinopteri; Gadiformes; Gadidae.
CAACUUUCUUCGAGAAUAUGCAACAGUAUUAAAAAGGAAAGGUCAGAGAGUAACACCCUUCAGCCAAAACCAACAAGUGACUAAAUUAAGACAUUAAUCAGGCUCGACUCCUCCCAGACCCACUAGUCGCUGAGUCUCUGAGUCGCUGUUCGUUCACUGACUGUGGUGAAGAGGGACCGACUGAGAGAUGUCACGGCUCACGGGAGCCGGCCAGCUGUAUGUUGCUCUAGGACUGAGUCUAGGACACUCUUGUCAAAUUUUUGCCAAUGAGAGACAGGAAUACAGCGCUUUCUUGGAAAACAAAACAAAUGGGCUUAUGCUGCAUUUUAUUAUCCAUCCGUCUCGGAGGUCCGAGGACGUUGCCUAGCGACACGCACGAACACGCCCCUCAGUGGUGACCUAGCAAAAUUCCGAGACAGAAUUCAAGAUGGCUGCGCCCAGUGUGACUUGAAGCAUGAACUGUUUUCAUUGUGCUUGG